Molecule: ribosomal RNA, 406 nt
Filed under: uncultured bacterium
Lineage: Bacteria
Description: bacterial SSU rRNA
Rfam family: Bacterial small subunit ribosomal RNA
Source: RNAcentral
GACGAACGCUGGCGGCGUGCUUAACACAUGCAAGUCGAGCGGUAAGGCCCUUUCGGGGGUACACGAGCGGCGAACGGGUGAGUAACACGUGGGUGACCUGCCCUCAGCUCUGGGAUAAGCCUGGGAAACCGGGUCUAAUACUGGAUAUGACUCCAUGACGCAUGUUGUGGGGUGGAAAGCCUUGUGCGGCUGAGGAUGGGCCCGCGGCCUAUCAGCUUGUUGGUGGGGUGANGGCCUACCAAGGCGACGACGGGUAGCCGGCCUGAGAGGGCGACCGGCCACACUGGGACUGAGACACGGGCCCAGACUCCUACGGGAGGCAGCAGUGGGGAAUCUUGCGCAAUGGGCGAAAGCCUGACGCAGCGACGCCGCGUGAGGGAUGACGGCCUGGUGUAACGUACUUCUA